This 284-nucleotide ribosomal RNA is filed under the name Escherichia coli. RNAcentral describes it as "partial 16S ribosomal RNA". It matches the Rfam family "Bacterial small subunit ribosomal RNA", at positions 1 to 281 of the family's 1533-position model. The record is from RNAcentral. Lineage: Bacteria; Pseudomonadati; Pseudomonadota; Gammaproteobacteria; Enterobacterales; Enterobacteriaceae.
AAAUUGAAGAGUUUGAUCAUGGCUCAGAUUGAACGCUGGCGGCAGGCCUAACACAUGCAAGUCGAACGGUAACAGGAAGCAGCUUGCUGCUUCGCUGACGAGUGGCGGACGGGUGAGUAAUGUCUGGGAAACUGCCUGAUGGAGGGGGAUAACUACUGGAAACGGUAGCUAAUACCGCAUAAUGUCGCAAGACCAAAGAGGGGGACCUUCGGGCCUCUUGCCAUCGGAUGUGCCCAGAUGGGAUUAGCUAGUAGGUGGGGUAACGGCUCACCUAGGCGACGAUC